CACGCCGUAAACUAUGGAUGCUAGCUGUUACUCGUAUCGACCCGAGUAGUAGCGAAGCUAACGCGUUAAGCAUCCCGCCUGGGGAGUACGGUCGCAAGAUUAAAACUCAAAGGAAUUGACGGGGACCCGCACAAGCGGUGGAGCGUGUUGUUUAAUUCGAUGAUAAACGAAGAACCUUACCAAGGUUUGACAUCCCGAUAGAGAUACUCCGAAAGGAGAAUUGCAUUUAGUUGGAUCGGUGACAGGUGU
RNAcentral lists this ribosomal RNA (249 nucleotides) under uncultured bacterium. RNAcentral's name for it is "partial 16S ribosomal RNA". It matches the Rfam family "Bacterial small subunit ribosomal RNA", at positions 796 to 1041 of the family's 1533-position model. The record is from RNAcentral.